Molecule: ribosomal RNA, 253 nt
Filed under: uncultured bacterium
Lineage: Bacteria
Description: partial 16S ribosomal RNA
Rfam family: Bacterial small subunit ribosomal RNA
Source: RNAcentral
UACGGAGGGUGCAAGCGUUGUUCGGAAUCACUGGGCGUAAAGGGCGUGUAGGCGGCCUGUUAAGUCUGAUGUGAAAUCCCCUCGCUCAACGAGGGAACUGCGUCGGAAACUGGCAGGCUUGAGUACCGGAGAGGAAGGUGGAAUUCCCGGUGUAGCGGUGAAAUGCGUAGAUAUCUGGAGGAAUACCGGUGGCGAAGGCGGCGUUCUGGACUGCAACUGACACUGAGGAACGAAAGCCAGGGGAGCAAACGGG